Molecule: ribosomal RNA, 494 nt
Filed under: uncultured bacterium
Lineage: Bacteria
Description: partial 16S ribosomal RNA
Rfam family: Bacterial small subunit ribosomal RNA
Source: RNAcentral
GACGAACGCUGGCGGCGUGCUUAACACAUGCAAGUCGAACGGAAAGGCCUGCUUUCCCUUGUGGAUUGCGGGUACUCGAGUGGCGAACGGGUGAGUAACACGUGAGUGAUCUGCCCCCAACUUGGGUAUAAGCCUGGGAAACUGGGUCUAAUUCCCGAUAGGACUGCAGGGUGGUGCCUGUGGUGGAGAACGAUUUUCUAGUGGUUGGGGAUGAGCUCGCGGCCUAUCAGCUUGUUGGUGGGGUAAUGGCCUACCAAGGCGGCGACGGGUAGCCGGCCUGAGAGGGUGGACGGCCACAUUGGGACUGAGAUACGGCCCAGACUCCUACGGGAGGCAGCAGUGGGGAAUAUUGCACAAUGGGCGGAAGCCUGAUGCAGCGACGCCGCGUGGGGGAUGACGGCCUUCGGGUUGUAAACUCCUUUCGACCGCGAGGAAGCCACCUGGUUGGAAGGGUGGUGACGGUAGUGGUAGAAGAAGCACCGGCUAACUACGUG